GAUGAACGCCGGCGGCGUGCCUAAUACAUGCAAGUAGAACGCUGAAGGAAGGAGCUUGCUCUUUCCGGAUGAGUUGCGAACGGGUGAGUAACGCGUAGGUAACCUGCCUGGUAGCGGGGGAUAACUAUUGGAAACGAUAGCUAAUACCGCAUAACAGUAGAUGUUGCAUGAUAUCUACUUAAAAGGUGCAAUUGCACCACUACCAGAUGGACCUGCGUUGUAUUAGCUAGUUGGUGAGGUAACGGCUCACCAAGGCGACGAUACAUAGCCGACCUGAGAGGGUGAUCGGCCACACUGGGACUGAGACACGGCCCAGACUCCUACGGGAGGCAGCAGUAGGGAAUCUUCGGCAAUGGACGGAAGUCUGGCCGAGCAACGCCGCGUGAGUGAAGAAGGUUUUCGGAUCGUAAAGCUCUGUUGUAAGAGAAGAACGAGUGUGAGAGUGGAAAGUUCACACUGUGACGGUAUCUUACCAGAAAGGGACGGCUAACUACGUG
This 497-nucleotide ribosomal RNA is filed under the name uncultured bacterium. RNAcentral describes it as "partial 16S ribosomal RNA". It matches the Rfam family "Bacterial small subunit ribosomal RNA", at positions 28 to 507 of the family's 1533-position model. The record is from RNAcentral.